AAUUGCCAUGACAUUUCUCCAAGUCUCCAAAAGAAAACAUACAUCACUUACCAUCGCAUAGCACAGUUCGGUCAGAAAGCUAGGCCAUGCAUCAAACGAGUACUAGUUAAGAAAUCAGAAACGAGGGUUCCCAAGAGAUGCAUAUCACAUCGUUUACUAUUUCAGAUCGGUACAUGACACGGCAACAUCAGCAAUCAAACCAAAAAUCAGCAUUCCACCAGUUUUAGAUACACGGCAGCCAACUACAGUUCCUGAGACGCAAACAUGGCAAUCUAAGAGGAGGUGAACUUGGUGACGGCCUUGGUGCCCUCGGAGACGGCGUGCUUGGCGAGCUCGCCGGGGAGGACGAGGCGGACGGAGGUCUGGAUCUCCCGGGAGGUGAUGGUGGGCUUCUUGUUGUAGCGGGCGAGCUUGGCGGCCUCGCCGGCGAGCUUCUCGAAGAUGUCGUUGAUGAAGGAGUUCAUGAUGGACAUGGCCUUGGAGGAGAUGCCGAUGUCGGGGUGCACCUGCUUGAGCACCUUGAAGAUGUAGAUCUUGUACGUCUCGACGCUCUUCUUGCCCUUCUUCCGGCCCCUCUUCUCGCCGCCCUCCUUGGAGGCGGUCUUGCCCGCCGGCAGCCGCUUCUCGGCCUUGGGCUUCUUGGCCGCCGGGGCCUUCUCGGCCUUCUCCGUCGUCGGCUCCUCCUCCGCGGGCUUCUUCGCCGCCAGCUUCUUCUCCGCCUUGGGGGCCAUCGCUGCUGAGGUUGAUUUGGUGUGGGGGAUUCUCCGCCUGGGUGGGUUGUGCGUGCUGGAACUGGAAGAAGAUGGGGAAUUUGUUUGGAAGGAGAUGUUGCGGAACAAGCUGCGGGAGGGCUAGGUUUAUACAGAGGGGGAGGUGGGCGCUGAUUGGUGGAUAGGUGGGUGCCCCGGAUCGGUGACGUGGAACCGUGCGAUGCGUUCGGCGCUGUUUUCUGUGGACGGGCGGGAUGCGUUUCGGCGCGGAUCGCUGUUCCUGGCGAAAAGACACGGGCGGGAACGGAAAGGCCAGAGCGCGCGACCGCGAGAAUGGUUUGGAUUUCUUUCACCACUCUAUCUUUUCUUUUUCCUGGUUUCCUCUCAUGGUUUUACCGGUUGAAUUAAAAAGCGUAAGAAUGUUCGCGAAUUCAAAAAUAUUCGUGGAUUCGAGAAAAUGCAAACUCGAAACAAAAUGUCUGUGAACUUAAAAAUAUUCAUGAAUUGAAAAAGUUCAUGCAAAAUAGAAAAGAUGUUCGCGGAUUGAAAAAAUGUUCACAAAUUCUAAAAUGUCUGUACAUUUGAAAAAUGCUGACAAAUUUGAACAAAAGUUCACGCAAAGUAGAAAAAAUGCCCGUGGAUUCAAAAAAAUCAUGUAUUAAAAAAUAUUUGUGAAUUCAAAAAAUGUUCACGAAUCUGCUGUUCGCCAAUUCAAAAAAUGUUUGUGAAUUUAAAAAUGUUCGCGUAUUUUAAACAGUUCACUAAUUCAAAAAAUAAUUCGCAUAUAGAAAAAAUGUUCACUGAUUUGAAAAAAAA
RNAcentral lists this long non-coding RNA (1526 nucleotides) under Triticum aestivum (bread wheat). RNAcentral's name for it is "long non-coding RNA (TAES_LNC019436)". Lineage: Eukaryota; Viridiplantae; Streptophyta; Magnoliopsida; Poales; Poaceae. The record is from RNAcentral.